CCAACAGCCCCCUUUUUUUUUCAGAGGGUUGCGACCCCACAUGGGGAUGAGGCCUGGCCUUGUGGAAACUGAACUCAGCUUCACGGGGCUGACAGCUCUGGUCCAGGGUGGUAUGUAAU
Molecule: non-coding RNA, 119 nt
Organism: Ailuropoda melanoleuca (giant panda)
Lineage: Eukaryota; Metazoa; Chordata; Mammalia; Carnivora; Ursidae
Source: Rfam